RNAcentral lists this ribosomal RNA (796 nucleotides) under uncultured Glomus. RNAcentral describes it as "SSU rRNA". It matches the Rfam family "Eukaryotic small subunit ribosomal RNA", at positions 314 to 1114 of the family's 1831-position model. Lineage: Eukaryota; Fungi; Glomeromycota; Glomeromycetes; Glomerales; Glomeraceae. The record is from RNAcentral.
AUCAACUUUCGAUGGUAGGAUAGAGGCCUACCAUGGUUUUAACGGGUAACGGGGAAUUAGGGUUCGAUUCCGGAGAGGGAGCCUGAGAAACGGCUACCACAUCCAAGGAAGGCGGCAGGCGCGCAAAUUACCCAAUCCCGACACGGGGAGGUAGUGACAAUAAAUAACAAUACAGGGCUUUACAGUCUUGUAAUUGGAAUGAGUACAAUUUAAAUCUCUUAACGAGGAACAAUUGGAGGGCAAGUCUGGUGCCAGCAGCCGCGGUAAUUCCAGCUCCAAUAGCGUAUAUUAAAGUUGCUGCAGUUAAAAAGCUCGUAGUUGAAUUUCGGGACCAAUAUGUCGGUCGUGCCUCGGUACGUACUGGCAUCGUUGGUUUCUCCCUUCUGACGAACCAUGAUGUCAUUUAUUUGGUGUCGUGGGGAAUCAGGACUGUUACUUUGAAAAAAUUAGAGUGUUUAAAGCAGGCUCACGCUUGAAUACAUUAGCAUGGAAUAAUGAAAUAGGACGUUUGAUUCUAUUUUGUUGGUUUCUAGGAUCGACGUAAUGAUUAAUAGGGAUAGUUGGGGGCAUUAGUAUUCAAUUGUCAGAGGUGAAAUUCUUGGAUUUAUUGAAGACUAACUACUGCGAAAGCAUUUGCCAAGGAUGUUUUCAUUAAUCAAGAACGAAAGUUAGGGGAUCGAAGACGAUCAGAUACCGUCGUAGUCUUAACCAUAAACUAUGCCGACUAGGGAUCGGAUGAUGUUAAUUUUUUAAUGACUCAUUCGGCGCCUUACGGGAAACCAAAGUGUUUGGGUUC